This 253-nucleotide ribosomal RNA is filed under the name uncultured bacterium. RNAcentral's name for it is "partial 16S ribosomal RNA". It matches the Rfam family "Bacterial small subunit ribosomal RNA", at positions 524 to 776 of the family's 1533-position model. The record is from RNAcentral.
UACGUAGGGGGCAAGCGUUGUCCGGAUUCAUUGGGCGUAAAGAGCGUGUAGGCGGCCAGGUAGGUCGGUUGUGAAAACUGGAGGCUCAACCUUCAGAGGUCGACCGAAACCAUCUGGCUAGAGUCCGGGAGAGGAGAGUGGAAUUCCUGGUGUAGCGGUGAAAUGCGUAGAUAUCUGGAGGAACACCGGUGGCGAAGGCGGCAUCCUGGACCGGCAUUGACGCUGAGGCGCGAAAGCCAGGGGAGCAAACGGG